GAUGAACGCUGGCGGCGUGCCUAAUACAUGCAAGUCGAGCGAAUGGAUUAAGAGCUUGCUCUUAUGAAGUUAGCGGCGGACGGGUGAGUAACACGUGGGUAACCUGCCCAUAAGACUGGGAUAACUCCGGGAAACCGGGGCUAAUACCGGAUAACAUUUUGAACCGCCUGGUUCGAAAUUGAAAGGCGGCUUCGGCUGUCACUUAUGGAUGGACCCGCGUCGCAUUAGCUAGUUGGUGAGGUAACGGCUCACCAAGGCAACGAUGCGUAGCCGACCUGAGAGGGUGAUCGGCCACACUGGGACUGAGACACGGCCCAGACUCCCACGGGAGGCAGCAGUAGGGAAUCUUCCGCAAUGGACGAAAGUCUGACUGAGCAACGCCGCGUGAGUGAUGAAGGCUUUCGGGUCGUAAAACUCUGUUGUUAGGGAAGAACAAGUGCUAGUUGAAUAAGCUGGCACCUUGACGGUACCUAACCAGAAAGCCACGGCUAACUACGUGCCAGCAGCCGCAGUAA
This 515-nucleotide ribosomal RNA is filed under the name uncultured bacterium. RNAcentral's name for it is "partial 16S ribosomal RNA". It matches the Rfam family "Bacterial small subunit ribosomal RNA", at positions 28 to 523 of the family's 1533-position model. The record is from RNAcentral.